RNAcentral lists this ribosomal RNA (375 nucleotides) under uncultured bacterium. RNAcentral describes it as "bacterial SSU rRNA". It matches the Rfam family "Bacterial small subunit ribosomal RNA", at positions 523 to 898 of the family's 1533-position model. The record is from RNAcentral.
GUACGUAGGGUGCAAGCGUUAAUCGGAAUUACUGGGCGUAAAGCGUGCGCAGGCGGUGAUGUAAGACAGUUGUGAAAUCCCCGGGCUCAACCUGGGAACUGCAUCUGUGACUGCAUCGCUGGAGUGCGGCAGAGGGGGGUGGAAUUCCGCGUGUAGCAGUGAAAUGCGUAGAUAUGCGGAGGAACACCGAUGGCGAAGGCAACCCCCUGGGCCUGCACUGACGCUCAUGCACGAAAGCGUGGGGAGCAAACAGGAUUAGAUACCCUGGUAGUCCACGCCCUAAACGAUGUCAACUGGUUGUUGGGAAUUUACUUUCUCAGUAACGAAGCUAACGCGUGAAGUUGACCGCCUGGGGAGUACGGCCGCAAGGUUAAA